AGCAACCGCGGUAAUUCCAGCUCCAAUAGCGUAUAUUAAAGUUGUUGCAGUUAAAAAGCUCGUAGUUGAAUUUCGGGGUCAGUAGGUUGGUCAUGCCACUGGUAUGUACUGGUCUCACUGAUUCCUCCUUCCUGAUGAACUGUAAUGCCAUUAAUUUGGUGUUGCAGGGAAUCUGGACUGUUACUUUGAAAAAAUUAGAGUGUUUAAAGCAGGCUAACGCCUGAAUACAUUAGUAUGGAAUAAUGAAAUAGGACGUUCGAUCCUAUUUUGUUGGUUUCUAGGAUUGACGUAAUGAUUAAUAGGGAUAGUUGGGGGCAUUAGUAUUCAAUUGUCAGAGGUGAAAUUCUUGGAUUUAUUGAAGACUAACUACUGCGAAAGCAUUUGCCAAGGAUGUUUUCAUUAAUCAAGAACGAAAGUUAGGGGAUCGAAGACGAUCAGAUACCGUCGUAGUCUUAACCAUAAACUAUGCCGACUAGGGAUCGGAUGAUGUUAAUUUUUAAUGACUCAUUCGGCGUCCG
This 518-nucleotide ribosomal RNA is filed under the name uncultured Glomus. RNAcentral's name for it is "SSU rRNA". It matches the Rfam family "Eukaryotic small subunit ribosomal RNA", at positions 569 to 1089 of the family's 1831-position model. Lineage: Eukaryota; Fungi; Glomeromycota; Glomeromycetes; Glomerales; Glomeraceae. The record is from RNAcentral.